CGUGAUACAUCGGCUAUCUCGGAUUCCUCCGUAAGAUAGGCCUCGUGGCUAACGGUCGCCAUAUUGCCUUGUAUUACUACUUUACUACCCAAAAGGUUGUCAGUCUAUUGUUAUGAGGCUGUAUACGAUGCGCGUUGAACUAGCGCCAAACUUUUUACCGAAACUUUGAUAUAAAUAGCACUAUUAACGUUCAUUUGUGUUGCAUUUUGACCUAUUAUCCAAGUGAUUUACUUUUCCAUUUUUAUUUAAUCACCCUAUCAUCCAAUUUUUAAGAUAAAAUUACGGUGUUUACAAAACCAACCAAACCGAAAGUGAAACUGGAUGCAUUACGUUUCGCGAUGUAAACAUUAAAUAUUUGUUCAGUUUGAGGAAGCGAAUCGAUAAUAGACGUUGAAAUAUGUAUGCAAUACAGACUAUCAUUGCCGAUUGUAGUACUGGCUAAAAAAUACCUUUUAUGACAGGUUUACUGGAUUAUGAAAGACUGAUAAACAUAAAAUUGACAACUCAUCUCCCCAACGAUACUUUGUGUGGCUCAUUCUCGGAACAAACCCAUAGUCAGUGAGAAAACUACAGUGUAAAAAGACCACUUGAUUGUGACAAUUAUGGCUGACCAAGCAAAUGUUAUCAUUUAAAAUAAAGAAAACUUCCAGUUCAAUA
Long non-coding RNA from Dreissena polymorpha, 657 nucleotides. RefSeq lists it as uncharacterized. The transcript is spliced from 2 exons. The record is from RefSeq and is a predicted model, not a curated record. Lineage: Eukaryota; Metazoa; Mollusca; Bivalvia; Myida; Dreissenidae.